CCUACGGGAGGCAGCAGUGGGGAAUAUUGCACAAUGGGGGGAACCCUGAUGCAGCGACGCCGCGUGGGUGAAGGAGUAUUUCGGUAUGUAAAGCCCUAUCAGCAGGGAAGAACAAUGACGGUACCUGACUAAGAAGCGCCGGCUAAAUACGUGCCAGCAGCCGCGGUAAUACGUAUGGUGCAAGCGUUAUCCGGAUUUACUGGGUGUAAAGGGCGCGCAGGCGGCGCGUUAAGCCUGGUGUGAAAGUCCGCGGCCCAACCGCGGGACUGCAUUGGGAACUGGCGCGCUGGAGUGCCGGAGGGGUAGGCGGAAUUCCUAGUGUAGCGGUGAAAUGCGUAGAUAUUAGGAGGAACACCAGUGGCGAAGGCGGCCUACUGGACGGUGACUGACGCUGAGGCUCGAAAGCGUGGGGAGCAAACAGGAUUAGAUACCCGAGUAGUC
RNAcentral lists this ribosomal RNA (441 nucleotides) under uncultured bacterium. Its description in RNAcentral is "partial 16S ribosomal RNA". It matches the Rfam family "Bacterial small subunit ribosomal RNA", at positions 338 to 795 of the family's 1533-position model. The record is from RNAcentral.